AGUAGCAAACAAUUUAUUUGGAUUCACACAGGGAAGGAGAGGUAGGGGUGUCAGGCAAGGAAAGUGGGGAGUAGGAAACCCUAAUACUUGUGUCCUCUGGAAGACUGCCUCCCCCAAGUUCUUGGGGUUCAAGACUAUUCCUCAGGCUUUUAAUUCAGGAGUCCAGGAACAGGUCAGGGAGAGAGAAAAUUUCAGGGAAAGAUCUGGAUGGCUCUGGCCAGAGUGAGUCCAAAUACAAAACCCCCUUGAGAAUUCAGGUAGCUAUUCUUUAAGAGUCUUAGUGGAGGCAUUUUUGAGUCCCAGAAGGAAUAACAGGUCCCAAAUGGAUAGGCUCUUUCUCAGCUUCCAGGAAAAACACCUUCCUACUUCCCUCCUAGGCUGAAAGACCAUUGACAGUUGGAGCUUCAGAGUUCUAAUUCCUUUAGAACUCCCCGGCUUCUCUCUCUGCCCUCCUCUGCUGCUCCUCAGCUGAUCUAUCUUUCAGCCUGGCUUGUCAUUGGAACCCCUUGGAUCUCUCUUUCUUACAUUUCAAUGGAAAUCACCAUCUGCUUCAGGAAGUGGAAUCGAAGGUUGAAGAGCUGACAAUAUCAUAUGUUUGGAGAUCCUUUAUUUGCAGCAGUACACAUGCAAUUUUGAGCAAGUGGGCUUUUGGAUGGAUGCAUUUAAAAAAAAUUCUGGGGAGCCAUUCUGGAGCCCAUAAAAGCACAUUAAGGAGUUAGCUACCUACUUUGCUUUUGUGUGAGACUGGCCCUGUCUGCCUAUAAUAAAGUGAGUUUAUUUUGUUAUAAGUAGAAUCUU
RNAcentral lists this long non-coding RNA (798 nucleotides) under Monodelphis domestica (gray short-tailed opossum). RNAcentral describes it as "lncRNA (ENSMODG00000042062.1)". Lineage: Eukaryota; Metazoa; Chordata; Mammalia; Didelphimorphia; Didelphidae. The record is from RNAcentral.